GAUGAAGAACCCAGCGAAAUGCGAUACGUAAUGUGAAUUGCAAAUUCAGUGAAUCAUCGAGUCUUUGAACGCACAUUGCGCCCCCUGGUAUUCCGGGGGGCAUGCCUGUCCGAGCGUCAUUGCUGCCCUCAAGCACGGCUUGUGUGUUGGGCCCCGUCCUCCGAUUCCGGGGGACGGGCCCGAAAGGCAGCGGCGGCACCGCGUCCGGUCCUCGAGCGUAUGGGGCUUUGUCACCCGCUCUGUAGGCCCGGCCGGCGCUUGCCGAUCAACCCAAAUUUUUAUCCAGGUUGACCUCGGAUCAGGUAGGGAUACCCGCUGAACUUAAGCAUAUCAAUAAGCGGAGGA
Molecule: unclassified non-coding RNA, 345 nt
Filed under: soil metagenome
Description: partial contains 5.8S ribosomal RNA, internal transcribed spacer 2, and large subunit ribosomal RNA
Rfam family: 5.8S ribosomal RNA (bases 1-119)
Source: RNAcentral